Molecule: transfer RNA, 74 nt
Filed under: Acidithrix sp.
Lineage: Bacteria; Bacillati; Actinomycetota; Acidimicrobiia; Acidimicrobiales; Acidimicrobiaceae
Also listed under: 1 other name
Description: tRNA-Val
Rfam family: tRNA
About the family: Transfer RNA (tRNA) molecules are approximately 80 nucleotides in length.
Source: RNAcentral
GGGCCGUUGGCGCAGUUGGUUAGCGCACUUGCAUGACACGCAAGGGGUCAGAGGUUCGAGUCCUCUACGGCCCA